This 211-nucleotide long non-coding RNA is filed under the name Mytilus galloprovincialis (Mediterranean mussel). The record is from RNAcentral. Lineage: Eukaryota; Metazoa; Mollusca; Bivalvia; Mytilida; Mytilidae.
CAUAUUUAUAAUUGAUCAUACUUUAAUACUUCCUCCAUCAUCAUGAUAUUGUGAUUUAAAAAGAACCUUGCUGUACUCCAUCUUACUUUGUGUUUGCAUAUUAGUCAAUCUUCCCUUUACAGUUUAUUUUACACAAAUUUGUAAAACGAAUAGUUCUUUUCACAUAACUGUAUAACUGACACGACAUAUAGUGUAUUGUUAUUAUUUUUUU